RNAcentral lists this long non-coding RNA (259 nucleotides) under Mytilus galloprovincialis (Mediterranean mussel). Lineage: Eukaryota; Metazoa; Mollusca; Bivalvia; Mytilida; Mytilidae. The record is from RNAcentral.
CGAAUUGUCGUGAGAAAAGGAAGAUGUCAGUUUGGCUAACAAUGGAAGGUUUUCCAGAUGUAAAGGACGUUUUUUUUUUGGCUGAAGUAUGAAGCGAGGCACUAUGUGAAUUGUUUGCCAGGAAGCAGCGGCAUUGUGAUGCAAUUCCGCCUACAAGAGGUUCUUUUCCAGAGCACAUCAAAAGAUAAGUAUAUCAAGGAGGAGUUGUUUGGGCUCAGCCUGAUUCAUGUAUUCUACAGGUACAUGUACCAAGUCAUGA